CGGAGGGUGAAGAUGGUCAACGCUGAUGCCCAACUGACCAUGGAGACUGUGACAUCGCAUUUGUUAAACCACGUGGACCUGCAAGAUAUCUCUACUCAGACCACCCCUGUUGUUGUUGUUCACAGCAAAACCAUGGAAAACUUGCUGUCUCGCUCUGCAUCAUGGGUAAUAUUCUGUCUGGUAUUCGUGAAGACAGUCGUAUUGACGUCAUCGGUCACGUGAGGAUGUUCCUACGAUGUUGCCCUGACCUACAGUUCACCCAGAGUGAUGUGCAGAUGUUUCAUGACCUUGCACAGCAAUGUAUCCAGAAGGACAGACCCUGCUAAUACCUAUGCCAACAUCCGAACUUAAAAAGCCAAACUAGAGACCCAAAUACCACAGACUUUUCCAGUGUCUGAACAUGUCACUACAUCACAUGGAGACAUUGCCUCUGUAUUUGUAACGUUAGCUUCAAACGCAACGCCAGGCUUAUAGGUAACAAGUAUGUUAUAUAUGAAUGUGUAUUGAUGCAGGGAAAUUAUCGUCUCUGCCAGCUCAUUCUAUUCCAGUGUUCUGCAACGCGUCUAUGAACACUCAAUGCCAUUUACAAGAUGGACAAAUGUAACAUAUGUUAUUAUAGGGAUUACACUUUCUCAGUACAGGUUCUAGUACUUUUUCUUGAGUUGACUCCCAUGCGG
Long non-coding RNA from Haliotis rubra (blacklip abalone), 677 nucleotides. RefSeq lists it as uncharacterized. The record is from RefSeq and is a predicted model, not a curated record. The transcript is spliced from 3 exons. NCBI's taxonomy places the organism in Eukaryota, Metazoa, Mollusca, Gastropoda, Lepetellida, Haliotidae.